ACGGGAGGCAGCAGUGGGGGAUAUUGCACAAUGGGGGAAACCCUGAUGCAGCGACGCCGCGUGAGCGAUGAAGUAUUUCGGUAUGUAAAGCUCUAUCAGCAGGGAAGAAUAAUGACGGUACCUGACUAAGAAGCACCGGCUAAAUACGUACCAGCAGCCGCGGUAAUACGUAUGGUGCAAGCGUUAUCCGGAUUUACUGGGUGUAAAGGGAGCGCAGGCGGUACGGCAAGUCUGAUGUGAAAGCCCGGGGCUCAACCCCGGUACUGCAUUGGAAACUGUCGAACUAGAGUGUCGGAGGGGUAAGUGGAAUUCCUAGUGUAGCGGUGAAAUGCGUAGAUAUUAGGAGGAACACCAGUGGCGAAGGCGGCUUACUGGACGAUAACUGACGCUGAGGCUCGAAAGCGUGGGGAGCAAACAGGAUUAGAUACCCUGGUA
This 435-nucleotide ribosomal RNA is filed under the name uncultured Roseburia sp. Its description in RNAcentral is "partial 16S ribosomal RNA". It matches the Rfam family "Bacterial small subunit ribosomal RNA", at positions 341 to 792 of the family's 1533-position model. The record is from RNAcentral. Lineage: Bacteria; Bacillati; Bacillota; Clostridia; Lachnospirales; Lachnospiraceae.